This is a long non-coding RNA of Manis pentadactyla (Chinese pangolin), 531 nucleotides long. RefSeq lists it as uncharacterized. NCBI's taxonomy places the organism in Eukaryota, Metazoa, Chordata, Mammalia, Pholidota, Manidae. The transcript is spliced from 3 exons. The record is from RefSeq and is a predicted model, not a curated record.
AUAUUGCAAACACUGUACUUAUACUGCAGGUUAUAAAUAUGGAGCUUUAUUGCUUUUACAGUCUUGACAGUGCUAUACAAGGAAUAGUCAUCCUGGCUUUUAAUACUAGUUAUUCUUCACCUUCAGGAACUGAUACAUUUGGAAGAAAGAUUAGGAAAUGUCAAUCGUGGAGCAUCCCAGGAGACAAUUGAAAGAUGUACAUAUCCACAUAAAUACCAAAAGGGGGAACUGCACUUCCAACAAGAUGGGGAAGAAGGGACUGAGGAAGACACAGAGGAGAAAUGUACUAUCUGUUUGUGUAUUUUAGAGGAAGGUGAAGAUGUGAGACGUCUUCCUUGUAUGCACAUUUUCCACCAAGUGUGUAUUGACCAAUGGUUGAUUACCAGUAAGAAGUGCCCCAUAUGCAGAGUGGACAUUGAAGCCCAGCCACCAAGUGAAGGUUGACACCGUGUUUCAGAACUGUUGCCCUCCCUCUCAUUCCCACCCUCCUGGUAUUGCAGUCAACCAAAGAUGGCAUGACUUACCUGCGCA